This 204-nucleotide long non-coding RNA is filed under the name Lepisosteus oculatus (spotted gar). RNAcentral's name for it is "lncRNA (ENSLOCG00000021624.1)". Lineage: Eukaryota; Metazoa; Chordata; Actinopteri; Semionotiformes; Lepisosteidae. The record is from RNAcentral.
GCUAGGCAUAUGCAAUGAUUUACAGCAUGGGUCUUCAUCUAAUGAAAAAAAUUCACAAGACUGAUGUCCUUCUUGGAGGGAAGCUGUAAAGUCAGAAUUAAUGGUCUGGUAAUAGCACAGGCUUCUGAUGGAAUCAGUGGGAACAAGAUCUGCUAUUCUCCUCCUCUACUACUGCAGUGCCACAGCACCCAUGGGAAUCCAUAA